UAAUUAAGUUCUUACUUUUAUUUUUUUUUAUACCUUUUAGAAAUAUCUUUUUAUUUAGUAUUUUAUUGAACAAUAUUUUUUUGUUAUAGUAGAUUAGUACUGUGAAGGAAUAUGAUGAAUUAAUUUAAUUCUAAUUUUAAAUAAGUAUAUAUAAUUUAUAGUACCUUUUGUAUCAGGGUUGAUUAAAUUAUUUAAUUUAUUUUUAAAUCUCGAUUUCAAAAGAGCUAGGUUAUUAUUUUAGUUAAUGUUUUAUAAUUAUUAAUAAUAUAAUUUAGAGGAGAAAUUUUAUUCGGUUUUGAGGGUAUCUAGUUUUUUAAGAAACGAAUUUAAUUUGAUUUUAUUAUUUAAAUUGUAUAUUAAUAUACAAUUUAUUUGAUAAAUUAAAGUUUAUAGGGGAUAAGCUCUAUAUAUAUUUUUAUAAAAUUUUUUGAUUAAUAAGUUUUAGUAGGUUUAAAAUUAUCCAACUAUAUAAAGUUUGUUAUAAAUUAUUUUUUUUAUUAAUUAAUUUUUUUAUUUUUAAUAUUUUAUUAAAAUGUUUGAUAUAAUUUUUACUUCUAAGUAAUAAUGAUUAAAUUAGUAUAAUAUUUUGUAUUAUUUUGAUUAAUAUAAAUAAUAAAGUAAGGAACUCGGCAAAUGUUAUUCCCGCCUGUUUAACAAAAACAUGUCCUUUUGUAUUUAAUUUAAGGUCUGACCUGCCCAGUGAUUUUAAUUUAACGGCCGCGGUAUACUGACCGUGCAAAGGUAGCAUAAUCAUUAGUCUUUUAAUAGAGGGCUGGAAUGAAAGGUUUAACGAGGAAUAAGCUGUCUCAUUUUAUUUGUUUUAAAAUUUAAUUUCUUAGUUAAAAAGCUAAGAUAAUAUUGGAAGACGAGAAGACCCUAUAGAUCUUUAUAUAAUUUUUUUAAUUUAAAAUUAUAUUAUUUUAAUUAUAUAUUAUUAUAUUUUGUUGGGGUGACAAAAAUAUAUAAAUAACUUUUUUAUUUCAAAAACAUUGAUUAAUGAUUAAAUGAUCCAAUAAUAUUGAUUACUAGAUUAAGUUACCUUAGGGAUAACAGCGUAAUCCUCCUUGGAAGUUCUUAUUUACAGGAUGGGCUUGCGACCUCGAUGUUGGAUUAAGAUAAUAGCUAGGUGUAGCCGCUUAGUAUAUAGGUCUGUUCGACCUUUAAAUUCUUACAUGAUCUGAGUUCAGACCGGUUUAAGCCAGGUCGGUUUCUAUCUCCAAUCUAUAAUAAUUUUUAGUACGAAAGGACCAAAAUUAUGAAAUAAUUUUUUUUAUUGAAUAUUACUA
This 1286-nucleotide ribosomal RNA is filed under the name Brachythemis contaminata. RNAcentral's name for it is "16S ribosomal RNA". The stretch from base 859 to 1220 matches the Rfam family "Archaeal large subunit ribosomal RNA", at positions 2153 to 2718 of the family's 2987-position model. Lineage: Eukaryota; Metazoa; Arthropoda; Insecta; Odonata; Libellulidae. The record is from RNAcentral.